AGCAGCCGCGGUAACACCGGCGGCCCGAGUGGUGAUCGUGAUUAUUGGGUCUAAAGGGUCCGUAGCCCGGUUUGGUCAGUCCUCCGGGAAAUCUGGAUAGCUCAACUAUUAGGCUUUCGGGGGAUACUGCCAGACUUGGAACCGGGAGAGGUAAGAGGUACUACAGGGGUAGGAGUGAAAUCUUGGUAAUCCCUGUGGGACCACCUGUGGCGAAGGCGUCUUACCAGGACGGGUUCGACGGUGAGGGACGAAAGCUGGGGGCACGAACCGGAUUAGAUACCCGGGUAGUCCCAGCCGUAAACGAUGCUCGCUAGGUGUCAGGCAUGGCGCGACCGUGUCUGGUGCCGCAGGGAAGCCGUGAAGCGAGCCACCUGGGAAGUACGGCCGCAAGGCUGAAACUUAAAGGAAUUGGCGGGGGAGCACAACAACGGGUGGAGGACCCUGCGGUUUAAUUGGACUCAACGCCGGACAACUCACCGGGGGCGACAGCAAUAUGUAGGCUAAGCUGAAGACUUUGCCUGAAUCGCUGAGGAGUGGUGCAUGG
This 544-nucleotide ribosomal RNA is filed under the name uncultured archaeon. RNAcentral's name for it is "bacterial SSU rRNA". It matches the Rfam family "Archaeal small subunit ribosomal RNA", at positions 460 to 997 of the family's 1478-position model. The record is from RNAcentral.